Non-coding RNA from Streptomyces sp. NRRL F-6491, 207 nucleotides. Lineage: Bacteria; Bacillati; Actinomycetota; Actinomycetes; Kitasatosporales; Streptomycetaceae. The record is from Rfam.
GUUGUCCUGCCAAGGGCAUGGCUGGUUGGCUACGUUCGGGAGGGAUAACCGCUGAAAGCAUCUAAGCGGGAAGCCUGCUUCGAGAUGAGUAUUCCCACCUCCUUGAGAGGGUAAGGCUCCCAGUAGACGACUGGGUUGAUAGGCCGGAUGUGGAAGCCCCGCAAGGGGUGGAGCUGACCGGUACUAAUAGGCCGAGGGCUUGUCCUC